RNAcentral lists this long non-coding RNA (1024 nucleotides) under Cyanistes caeruleus (blue tit). Its description in RNAcentral is "lncRNA (ENSCCEG00000012457.1)". Lineage: Eukaryota; Metazoa; Chordata; Aves; Passeriformes; Paridae. The record is from RNAcentral.
AAAAAUGGUAGUGGUGCUUUGUAAGGCCUCCAGGAUUGUGUCUCUUUUAAAUGGGGAAAAGGUGAGGCACUAAAUACUUUAAAAAUCUGUAAUUCCCCAAAUUGUCACUUGUCUCGUGUCCCCCAAGUCAUCCUGGGAGCUUUUUCCACGUCAAGGAAAGAUAAAUGGACAAACACAGUUUACACAUACCAAGCACAUUUGUUUAAUAAACAAUGCUGAGAAAGUUUAACUGAAACUCUAAAGCCACUAAAGGGGACAAAUAAUUAAUUUCAAGUCAUCAAACUGUUUAAACGGAAAUGUAAUUUUAAUAAAGUGAUAUAAGGGCCGAAGAUUUGUACAGCAGAAAGCUAAAGUCCAAAAAUCAAAAUGUGAAAACUAAAGGAAAGCAAUGGGUUUUGUCCUAGAGAACUUCCCAAAGUUUUCUCUGAAUGUUCAUGGGAACAUUUGCACCUGGGACUGAAGCUGCAUUUCUGGGUGGGAUUGGCUCCAGGUGUUUCCAUUUCCAUCCAAAGAGAGGCUGCAGUUCCCCCUAUUUCAGUGAUCCAGCAGGGAGUGCCCACUUUUGGAAGGUUCAGGCUGCUCCAGGGAGGUUUUUCCCCUUCCACUGCUCAUCCCCUCUCGGCUCUGCACAUCACCCUCUCAGGGCCCUUCUGAAGACAUAACCCUGCUGAAAGGAACAGAUGCAUUCCCUUAGGAAGUGAUCCAGCCCCAAACUGUGUCUGACGAGGUGAGCACAGCUGGGGAGCGUUUGUGUUUGGGCUCCAAGGGGCAGCGUGUUCCCCAGCCACAGGGCGAGUGGCACAUUUAAUGACAAUUAGUGUUAAUUUGUUGAAAUAGUGGAAGUUUUAGAAUGGCCAGGCUCAUCCAGCACUGGUUCUGAGCUGUUUAUUCUUGAUAUCAGACGUGUCCCAGCUUUCUGUUCCUGUGAAAUGUGCCCAGCUCUGAGUGCUCGAAGGAUGCGCCGUGUCUGUGAUAAAUGGCAUCAGGCCUCCAAAGGCAGCAGCCUCUCGUGUCUGUGUUUUAA